Molecule: long non-coding RNA, 1576 nt
Organism: Oenanthe melanoleuca
Lineage: Eukaryota; Metazoa; Chordata; Aves; Passeriformes; Muscicapidae
Exons: 3
Source: RefSeq, a predicted model, not a curated record
GGCUCUUCCCGUCCACCGGCUGUGUGACGUCACCGGCAGAGGGGCGGGACUCCAGCGCCCCCUGCUGGAGGCGCGAGCCCGUGCAGCACCACCGCUUCCCCUUCCCCUUACAGCCCUGAGGGAAGAUGGACGGGGGGGGCGGGGCAUGGCAGAGUCGGGGGCUCCCCGCGGUUCCCGCCCUGCCCGAACCCCCGGUAAUGAAAUCACUGAGUCAGUUCCCCUUGCACUCGGCGCUGAUAAACCCUGAAACUUGAGCCAGGAAGAGCUUGAUCACAUCAUUUCUCUUUCUCUCCACUGUGACCAUACUGAGCUCUUUAAGUGACACUUCUUGCUGCCAUAAGCUGUCCCCUGCAGUCAAUGGCAACGACUGUGACUGGAGCAGCUUUGAGAAAUCCACUGCAAUUUGAGCAUCGAGACAGGCUGAACACAUCUGUGGUGCUGGCUGAAGUGCUACAAAAUCCCUUCAGGGACCAAGGACUACAUGAAGUUUCCAUUCCAGACUUAAGAAUCACCUGGGGCAUGUCAGAAAUACCGGACAGGCAUCACUAAAGAGAGCUAGGAUUGCCAGAACCUUUGAAAGCCACCCGUGGUGACAUCAGGCAUAAAAGGCCAGAGCAUCAAGGAUUGUAAUAGAUAAAUUACAGGUAAAUACAACUAAGCGUUGUCACAUGGUUUUAGGUGGGAGAUCCAGCUAGACAACUUCUCUUUAGUACUUCUGUAUAACCUAAUGACACUGUUAUCUAAUCCAAUAAUUGCCAGUAAAACAGAACAAUUUAGAAAGCAAUUAAUUUCCCAAUGUCCAUUUUUGCAAAGCUAAUUUCAAAACACACAUUGCUGCAACUUCCAAAUAAGUGCACAUCCAAAAGCACUUAUUGUUCACUGCACUGACUGCAGGUGCCAACUAACAGCACCUGUUUGAAUUGAGCAAAACCAUAGACAAUGUUCAUUUCCUUACUGAAACUUGGCAGCUGGAGUUGAUUCUAUUAAAAUACAACCACUGGAAAGCCUUUUUCCACCCUUUUCUCCUGCAGCCCUGGGCUUCUUACCCAGCUGCAUGUGCAAAGCAGUACAACUCGGCAGUGCUUGCUAUGCUGUAAUGAAAAAAAGAAAACCAACACAACAACAAAAAAGUCCCCGCAAAAAUCAAGAGCUGCCCUGUAGCAAUUCUACUGGGGAAAUAGAGACUAAGGAACCUUCACUCACAUUUUACCUGACCUCUAAGACCCAAGAACUCACAGACACAAUGAAUGUAUCAGCACAGAGCAGAGCUGCAUGGGAUAAAAUACUUAUGGCUUCUGUUUUAUCACUGGACCUGUAACAAGGCAUGGUUAAACCUCUUCCUGAACCCCCUCAGUGCGGCCAUGCCAGCAAAGCUUAGCAGAUCAGCAGUAAUAGAAACAAAAUGCUUGGACACAUUUUCAGAAAUCCAUGUUAAUUUUCUUUUUUCUCCCUUAAUAAAGGCAGAAGCAGGAAAUGUAAAGGGAAUUCUAGCUGAAGCAACCUGCCCAGCUCCCAGCUGGGGCACUAUGUGGGCUGAGACAGAGGCUAUUUUAAGAUAAGGGAAGGCUGACAACCU